This is a non-coding RNA of Zootermopsis nevadensis, 1549 nucleotides long. The record is from RefSeq and is a predicted model, not a curated record. Lineage: Eukaryota; Metazoa; Arthropoda; Insecta; Blattodea; Termopsidae.
UGUCGGCCACAAAAUGUUCCUACCCUCCAAUACUCACAAGGACAUUAACGAAGGAGUCAGCAUCAUCUAAAAACACGAACGAAAGGCCUACUCUAUUUCUGUUUCGAAUUUGCGUUCCUACAAUUCCUUCAAGCUUCACACAUACAAUCUUUAUUUUGCAUUAUCUAUCGUGUGAUGGAUUGUGACGACAGUUCAAUUUACGGUUAUCAUGCGAGAAUAGUCAACGGUUAAUAAGAGAAUUGGGAACAAAGGAACGCAUCAUUUGGCACGUCCUUACUGUACACCACAUCGGUAAAUAAAUGUAUACACUUAUUCGGAGUUCUGAAUAUAUACAGAACGUCCCAAAAAGAUGCACGCACAUUGCUGACGUAUGUAAUGGUUGUGUGUACACAUCAUCUCGGGACACCUGCAUUUAUGGGCGUCGUUUGGUGCUUAGAAACAAGUUAACAAACAAACAACUGUAGCAGUAGCAAGAAUCUAGAAUCUAGGGUCAGGAGUGAUUACGUCAUCAGGGACGCGGAUAUCACGAACACGUCACGAAGCAGCAUCAUAUCCCGUCACUACAACGUACGACGAAAUAAUAUAAAGAUAAUUAACUCGUUCAAAAAUGUGGCAGAGUUUAUAUAUUUGUGUACAGUAAGACAUCAAAAUUACGUUCACGAAGAAGCUACAGGUUCCGUUUUCGGCAGGUUUUACUGAAUCCCCGUCCCACAGUUGACACGAUGGUGCUCAGGACUUGUAUAAUGAUAGAGCAAAUAGCCAACAGCACCUUCCACACACACCUGCCAGGAUGCUGAAUAUUCAUGUCUUCUGUCACUGCCUUUGCAUCCACAUCUGAUCGCUCGUCCGGAAUUUUUCCUGUAAAGAUGCCAUCUGCUCCGUCGCUUCUAGCGAUGCUGUGCUUUCGAACUCUAGUAACUUGGCGGAUAUGUUAACACGUCAACAGCUACGAUCGCCUGAAGAUAAUCAAGUACGCACAUGUAAUAAUUCGGCUUCAGAUAUCUGCCGCUGUUGUUUUAACCUGGCGCUUUACUGAUAAGGAUGACCCGCAUUCCUGGCCAUCGAGGUUGAAGACUGAUUAGUCGAAAGGCUUUCGACAAACGUUUGUCGUUUUCCAACGAAAGCAAUUGAUUAGAUUGUGCAAAUUCACCGUAACGUUUCGAAAGAUGGUUCAGCUGAUUAGGUUAUACAGUUUCACCUCCAGCCAGGCGAAUAUUUUCAAUGCUUGUUGAAUGCAUCGUCACAGUUUCAGUGUCGCCACACACUGUGGACGCAUGGAGCCUCACCAUUAGGGUUGAAAUGAUGAACCUAUCAACGUCUCAGCCAGGUCCGUGGGAGCAACUCCUUAUUUUUCCACUUGCGAGAUAUGAUUCCGUUUACUCUCCCCGUCCCUACAGAUAACAAUUAAAAUCUUUUCACGACACACCCAAGAUCCUGUCUGACAAACGACCUUGCAGGACAUGUGGGGUGUGGGACAUAUCUCCGGAACUACCUCACACGGCGAGUUACAACGCUUGGUCUUCGCACCCUUGUGGUACCUACCAAGACA